GUGCUCGCUUCAGCAGCACAUACCCUAAAACUGGAACAAUACAGAGAUUAGCAUGGCCCUUGAGCAAGGGUGAUGUGGAAAUCUGUGAAGUGUCCCUAAUUUUA
Small nuclear RNA from Phyllostomus hastatus (greater spear-nosed bat), 104 nucleotides. Lineage: Eukaryota; Metazoa; Chordata; Mammalia; Chiroptera; Phyllostomidae. The record is from RefSeq and is a predicted model, not a curated record.